Long non-coding RNA from Aplysia californica (California sea hare), 637 nucleotides. RefSeq lists it as uncharacterized. The transcript is spliced from 2 exons. The record is from RefSeq and is a predicted model, not a curated record. NCBI's taxonomy places the organism in Eukaryota, Metazoa, Mollusca, Gastropoda, Aplysiida, Aplysiidae.
GUCGGUUAUUUUAACAAUCACGUUCUCUCUCUACUCCAUACAUGUCGCGUGUGCUGUUGUGAAGAUCCAGGUUAUUCAGUAAGGAAACUUGACACUGCGUUGUCUGAAUUCAAUAUCUUACGUGUGUAUAUUAUUAUAUUCUUGUGCGAAGUGAUAGGCGAUCGGAAACUGCCGACUUGACCGGGCCAGGAGCAGGAUGUAUUCUGAGUAUACACAAUGUGGGACCAGUCCUAACUUUAAUGUCACACUCUCACAUCGAUGCGAGCUCUUGUAGCCGUGCCAAAGAAGGCAUCGACAACGUCACCUGAGUGGAAAGUGGUUGCUAAAGUGCUAGUUGUGGAGUCAAAACUUUAUACAUGUCGGAAUUGAUAGAUACUCUUUCUUCACAUGCGCCUUAGUGUGAGCUUCGUCGUUGUCAUUAGCCGUGGUGAUAUCAACACCAGAGGCAUUGUUGGGACUGACAAUGGUCGUUAUAAAACCUCACACUCACAGUUUCACAAUCACAAAUAUACAAACUAACAACUGAACAACAGACAGUAUAUUAUUCCGUCCCGAGGGGCUGUCAUCCUCAUUUCUAUUAGGGUCGCCCUGUCUUUGGUAUUACGUCCAAUAAGGGUUUAAACUUCAACAAAAGGAA